Molecule: ribosomal RNA, 712 nt
Filed under: uncultured bacterium
Lineage: Bacteria
Description: bacterial SSU rRNA
Rfam family: Bacterial small subunit ribosomal RNA
Source: RNAcentral
GGCGAACGGGUGAGUAACACGUGGAUAACCUGCCCUCGGCACCGGAAUAGCCCGGGGAAACCCGGAUUAAUGCCGGAUAGCCCCACAUCCCCUCGGGGUACGUGGGAAAAGGUAGCUUCGGCCUCUGGCCGAGGAUGGGUCCGCGGUGGAUUAGCUUGUUGGUGGGGUAACGGCUCACCAAGGCGACGAUCUAUAGCUGGUCUGAGAGGACGAUCAGCCACACUGGGACUGAGACACGGCCCAGACUCCUACGGGAGGCAGCAGUAGGGAAUCUUGCGCAAUGGGCGAAAGCCUGACGCAGCGACGCCGCGUGCGGGAAGAAGGCCUUCGGGUUGUAAACCGCUUUCAGGAGGGACGAAGCCACUCGGGUUAAUAGCCCAGAGGGUGACGGUACCUCCAGAAGAAGCCCCGGCUAACUACGUGCCAGCAGCCGCGGUAAUACGUAGGGGGCAAGCGUUGUCCGGAUUUAUUGGGCGUAAAGAGCGUGUAGGCGGCCAGGUAGGUCGGUUGUGAAAACUGGAGGCUCAACCUUCAGACGUCGACCGAAACCAUCUGGCUAGAGUCCGGGAGAGGAGAGUGGAAUUCCUGGUGUAGCGGUGAAAUGCGCAGAUAUCAGGAAGAACACCCGUGGCGAAAGCGGCUCUCUGGAACGGUACUGACGCUGAGACGCGAAAGCGUGGGGAGCGAACAGGAUUAGAUACCCUGGUAGUCC